UCCCUCCAGGGUGGCAAUGACCGUGGUCUGGAUCCUGUGGAGUUCUGCUUGGCUCCUGAGACGACACAGCUCCUCCUCCAUGGCCAGACCUUCAGAAUGAAGAACCUGAGAGAGAGGCACAAUAACCCUGGCUGAUGUCAGACUCACGUGUCAGUCCCUCCAUCCAUACCUCUAUCUGCCUGCGGGCCUCUCCCAGACUCUCGGCGGUUUUCUUCAGGCGCUGCAGCUCUGCUUCAUGGACCACCAGCCUCUGCUCAGCCUCCCACGUCUUCUUACUCUGCUCUCCCAGCUUGGAGUGUAGUUCUUGGGCCACUAAUGUCUGCCUGUCAGCUUCCUCCUGGGCCUUCUGGAGCUGUGUUAUUAAAAGCUCCACAUCAGGAGAAGACCUACAGCAAGUUGGCAAAAAUUCUAGAGCCAUGACCUUCAGCCCCCGUGCCCUGACCUCCUGCAGCACUCGAAGCUCCUCUAAUCGCCUCCUCAGCUCCGCGUUCUCCUGCUCUGCUCCCAGCAGCCUCAGUG
Molecule: long non-coding RNA, 519 nt
Organism: Cynoglossus semilaevis (tongue sole)
Lineage: Eukaryota; Metazoa; Chordata; Actinopteri; Pleuronectiformes; Cynoglossidae
Exons: 3
Source: RefSeq, a predicted model, not a curated record